RNAcentral lists this ribosomal RNA (1025 nucleotides) under uncultured Alphaproteobacteria bacterium. RNAcentral's name for it is "bacterial SSU rRNA". It matches the Rfam family "Bacterial small subunit ribosomal RNA", at positions 83 to 1141 of the family's 1533-position model. Lineage: Bacteria; Pseudomonadati; Pseudomonadota; Alphaproteobacteria. The record is from RNAcentral.
UCCUUGGAUCUAGUGGCGCACGGGUGAGUAACAUGUGGGAAUCUACCUGAAGGUUCGGAAUAACUGCGGGAAACUGUAGCUAAUACCGGAUGUGUCUGCAAAGAGAAAGAUUUAUCGCCUUCAGAUGAGCCCGCACUAGAUUAGCUAGUUGGUGAGGUAAUUGCUCCACCAAGGCUACGAUCUAUAGCUGAUUUGAGAGGAUGAUCAGCCACACUGGGACUGAGACACGGCCCAGACUCCUACGGGAGGCAGCAGUAGGGAAUAUUGGACAAUGGGGGAAACCCUGAUCCAGCAAUGCCGCGUGAGUGAAGAAGGCCUUCGGGUUGUAAAGCUCUUUCAUCAAUGAUGAUAAUGACAUUAGUUGAAGAAGAAGCCCCGGCUAACUUCGUGCCAGCAGCCGCGGUAAUACGAAGGGGGCUAGCGUUGUUCGGAAUCACUGGGCGUAAAGCGUAUGUAGGCGGAUCAAAAAGUUAGAUGUGAAAUCCCUGGGCUCAACCCAGGAACUGCACUUAAAACUAGUGAUCUAGAAUUUGGUAGGGGCCAGUAGAAUUUCCAGUGUAGAGGUGAAAUUCGUAGAUAUUGGAAAGAAUACCAGUGGCGAAGGCGACUGGCUGGGCCAUUUUUGACGCUGAGAUACGAAAGCGUGGGUAGCAAACAGGAUUAGAUACCCUGGUAGUCCACGCAGUAAACGAUGAGUGCUAGUCGCUGGGACAAUAGUUUCAGUGUCGAAGCUAACGCAUUAAGCACUCCGCCUGGGAAGUACGGUCGCAAGAUUAAAACUCAAAUAAAUUGACGGGGGCCCGCACAAGCGGUGGAGCAUGUGGUUUAAUUCGAAGCAACGCGAAGAACCUUACCAGACCUUGACAUGGUAUGUUUGAAUUACAGAAUCGUAAUUCUUCAGUUCGGCUGGCAUACACACAGGUGCUGCAUGGCUGUCGUCAGCUCGUGUCGUGAGAUGUUGGGUUAAGUCCCGCAACGAGCGCAACCCUCAUUUUUAGUUGCCAUCAGGUUAAGCUGGGCACUCU